RNAcentral lists this ribosomal RNA (490 nucleotides) under uncultured bacterium. RNAcentral's name for it is "partial 16S ribosomal RNA". It matches the Rfam family "Bacterial small subunit ribosomal RNA", at positions 29 to 505 of the family's 1533-position model. The record is from RNAcentral.
AGUGAACGCUGGCGGUAGGCCUAACACAUGCAAGUCGAACGGCAGCACAGUAAGAGCUUGCUCUUACGGGUGGCGAGUGGCGGACGGGUGAGGAAUACAUCGGAAUCUACUUUUUCGUGGGGGAUAACGUAGGGAAACUUACGCUACUACCGCAUACGACCUACGGGUGAAAGCAGGGGAUCUUCGGACCUUGCGCGAUUGAAUGAGCCGAUGUCGGAUUAGCUAGUUGGCGGGGAAAAGGCACACCAAGGCAACGAUGCGUAGCUGGUCUGAGAGGAUGAACAGACACAGUGGAACUGAGACACGGUCGAGACUCCUACGAGGGGCAGCAGUGGGAAAUAGUGGACAAUGGGCGAAAGCCUGAUCCAGCCAUACCGCGUGGGUGAAGAAGGCCUUCGGGUUGUAAAGCCCUUUUGUUGGGAAAGAAAAGCAGCAGGUUAAUACCCCGCUGUUCUGACGGUACCCAAAGAAUAAGCACCGGCUAACUUCG